UACGUAGGUGGCAAGCGUUGUCCGGAAUUAUUGGGCGUAAAGCGCGCGCAGGCGGUCCUUUAAGUCUGAUGUGAAAGCCCACGGCUCAACCGUGGAGGGUCAUUGGAAACUGGGGGACUUGAGUGCAGAAGAGGAAAGCGGAAUUCCACGUGUAGCGGUGAAAUGCGUGGAGAUGUGGAGGAACACCAGUGGCGAAGGCGGCUUUCUGGUCUGUAACUGACGCUGAGGCGCGAAAGCGUGGGGAGCAAACAGG
RNAcentral lists this ribosomal RNA (253 nucleotides) under uncultured bacterium. RNAcentral's name for it is "partial 16S ribosomal RNA". It matches the Rfam family "Bacterial small subunit ribosomal RNA", at positions 524 to 776 of the family's 1533-position model. The record is from RNAcentral.